GAUGAAGAACGCAGCGAAAUGCGAUAAGUAAUGCGAAUUGCAGAAUUCCGUGAGUCAUCGAAUCUUUGAACGCACAUUGCGCCCUCUGGUAUUCCUUAGGGCAUGCCUGUUCGAGCGUCAUUUAAACCUUCAAGCUAAGCUUGGUGUUGGGUGACUGUCCGCUUCACGGCGGACUCGCCUCAAAAUUAUUGGCGGCCGGUACAUUGGCUUCGAGCGCAGCAGAAACGCGAACUCGGGCCCGUCGUAUUGGCUCCCAGAAGCUAUCUUCACAAUUUUGACCUCGGAUCAGGUAGGGAUACCCGCUGAACUUAAGCAUAUCAAUAAGCGGAGGA
This 332-nucleotide unclassified non-coding RNA is filed under the name soil metagenome. RNAcentral's name for it is "partial contains 5.8S ribosomal RNA, internal transcribed spacer 2, and large subunit ribosomal RNA". The stretch from base 1 to 120 matches the Rfam family "5.8S ribosomal RNA", at positions 35 to 154 of the family's 154-position model. The record is from RNAcentral.